UACAGGGGGUGCAAGCGUUGUCCGGAAUUAUUGGGCGUAAAGAGCUCGUAGGCGGUUUGUCGCGUCGGCUGUGAAAACCUGGGGCUCAACCCCGGGCCUGCAGCCGAUACGGGCAAACUAGAAUUCGGUAGGGGAGACUGGAAUUCCUGGUGUAGCGGUGAAAUGCGCAGAUAUUAGGAAGAACACCGGUGGCGAAGGCGGCCAUCUGGCUCGGUACUGACGCUCAGGCGCGAAAGCGUGGGGAGCAAACAGG
This 253-nucleotide ribosomal RNA is filed under the name uncultured bacterium. RNAcentral's name for it is "partial 16S ribosomal RNA". It matches the Rfam family "Bacterial small subunit ribosomal RNA", at positions 524 to 776 of the family's 1533-position model. The record is from RNAcentral.